GGUGUUCUCUCAGCACUCAGCACAGAUUGCUAGUGCUUUUAUGUGCUGAGCCUUUCCCUUCAACCUGGACCGAAAGAGGAUGGCAAUCUCGCUGAAGCUGUUUCUUUUUCUUCACAACAUAUAGGAAAGUGUUGCCCCUUUUUGGAGCAACAGCAUCUUCAGCAGGAGUAGAUACCACCUCAAGAAACCACCUUGUAUUUUAAUCCACAAGAAGCAACUCCUCAUUCAUUCAAGAGUUAUCAUGAGGUUGCAGCAAUUCAAUUAUAUCUUCAUGGUCCACUUCUACUUCUAGUUUUCUUGCUGUUUUCACCACAAAGGACAAGCUCCACUGACACUACUUGAAUCAGUAUUGAACGAAUGUCAGGUCCUUGGGAAACUCUCCAACCCUAUCUCCUGUCCUGUCCGGGUGUGCUCCAGGUGCACCAUUUGGCUAAGUCAAUUUGAACUAUUUGGGAGACCUUUGUACCUACGAUUCCUUCUGCUUGGAAGAUGCUUUCUGUUUUGUCAGCUCUUACUUCCGUGUUGUGGAAAACUGGUCUGACCUCCUAGUUGUGAAUCAGGUAUUGCUCCUCAGCACCGCAAACACUUUGGCCUCAGGUGUUACUCCACUGCAUCAGGGGGCCAUAAAGAGAAUUGACGAGGACAACUGGCCUCCCAAUAUGUGGAUUCAGUUUCCGUGUCAAUUUACCAACUCCCACUGGUAGUCUGAAGAGAUAUGGCUACUGGAGAACAGAAAAUCACCAGUAUUAAUAAAAGCAAUUUUAAGUGUUUACCUUUUAGUAUUUGAAUAGCUUUGUUAAAGAGAUGUACUCAAGAAUACUAUGAAGAGACUCUUAUUGUACUCCUUACCGGAAGAUAAUUGUGAUGCCAGAAAUUCAAAUUUAUAUUCAACAAUAUGGUUUUUCAACCAUCAAUAUUAUAAACAUCUAGGCAGUGUUUAUUGUUUGCGCAUUUGCCGUCCUCUAAAAUGAGAUUAUUCUAAGCAUACAUUAUCCUUCAUCAUUCAAGAUUAUAAGCAUUUAUAAUAAUCAUAAUAUUCACCGACAUUUCCCUGCUCUCAAAUCACUAGAGCUAAUAGGCAAAGUAGAUACAGCUACAAACAGCGGGAGAAAAUAUUUCUGGCUGACCUACAAAUAGCCGUGCAAUAAUGUAGAGAGGAAAGUAUAGUCUCACUUAUAGUGUCUGAAAUUGAGUUUCCCUCUUUAAAGGACAAAGUAAUUUUCAAAAAUAUUUGAGUAUUAUUCUGUGUAAAAAAUCUCUAUUUUAACUGGCUUAUUGAAUUGUAUUUCUUUAUUGUGUUUGUAUUCACUUUUCCAUUUGUGGGUGGAAUUUAUUAUAAUCACCAGUUUUAUACUGAAUGAAACAAAAAUCUCGUAGAUUUAUUUUAAUAAAACUUUAAAAUCCUUGUCAUUGAUAAUAAAAUAAAAUGUAUAUGCUUUCUCUAAUAAGGCCAUACUUUAUUGUUUAAAACCUAUUUUUCCUCUUUCUCAAGCACAUGGAUUGUUAAUUUAAAUUCUAAAAUAAAACCAAUUAAUCCAUAAACAUGGACUGUGGGUAAUGUUGAUAUUGCAUGUAAAUUUCUCAGUGUGUGUUUCAUGGACUCAACAGCAUCAGCAUUAGCUGGGGACUUACAAGGUGGCAUGUGCCUGUAGUCCCAGCUACUCAGGAGGCUGAGGCAGGAGAAUCACUUGAACCUAGGAGGUGGAGGUUGGAGUGACAGAGAUCGUGCCACUGCACUCCAGCUUGGGCGACAGAGCGAGACUCUGUCUUAAAAAAAUAAAUAAAAUAAAAUUUGCAAAUUUAUGGGAACGACCCCACCCCAGGCCUAUUGAAACAAAAAGUCUAUAGACAUGGUUUAGCAAUCUGUCUUUCAACAAGCCCUUUUGGGCAACUCUAAUGCAUGCUAAAGUUUGAGAACCACUGGUCUGUGGCUUUCCAGGAUACCCAGGUGCUGUACUGUCUUAUUCCCUACAGGGAACACCUUUGUUCAAGUGUGGAAGUAUGCACGCAGUGUGUAAGGAGGUGGGUUGAAUCUUCCUACAAAUGUUUUAAAUAAGUCACCUGCCUCACAUAUGUGGACUAGAUUAUUUAGAUAUUUGGAUCCAUACAGACCCUUAACCCUACUUCCGAUUUACAGAUAAGAAAUCCCUACUCUAUUUUAUUAUGUGUUGUGUUUGGCCCAUUGGUAAUUAUUUUUCUCUCCUUAGACUCAAUUUUAACUAUUUAUUGCAAUCUAAAAAUGGGGGCCUUAUCUUAAUAGUUAUUUUAAUUUUGCAAGAUAUACUAUAGGACAGGAAGUAUGCCUGAUUCUUUUACAUAAAUUCGAUAUCAGUGAUGCCUCAAAACAGUUCUUCACAUUAACUAUCAUUAUUUUUGUAGUUUUAAUGCAUUAAAACUUACUCAGUAUAAAAGCCACCUACUUAAAAUGUACAACUCAAAAAUUUUCAGUAAAUUAAUAAAGUUGUGAAGCCAUGACCACAGUGCAAUUUUAACACAUUUCCAUUGUGCCAAAAAGUUCCCUCAUGCUCAAUUCCAACCAGUUCCCACUGCCACCCCCAGUAUCAGACACGACAAUCUGCUGUCUCUACAUUUCAGGACAUUUAGUGUAAAUACAUUUAUACAAUAUAUGGUCUUUGUAUCUGGCUUCUUUCACUUAUUAUGUUUUUGAAGUUUAUCCAUGUAGCUUGUAUCAAGCUUUCGUUCCUUCUUUUUUGUUGAAUAACAUUUUAUUUAUCCAUUAAU
Long non-coding RNA from Symphalangus syndactylus (siamang), 2742 nucleotides. RefSeq lists it as uncharacterized. The record is from RefSeq and is a predicted model, not a curated record. NCBI's taxonomy places the organism in Eukaryota, Metazoa, Chordata, Mammalia, Primates, Hylobatidae.